CCCCGCAUGCUCCUUUUCGGUUAGAUCGACGUUCAAUGAUGUCUCAUCGGUUGAAUUUUGUUGGACCGACGAAUAUGCGACUUUCGGUUAAACUCCGAUAUGCAGUGUGCUCUCCUCCUCCCAUAACGAAGAUGUCACUUUGAGGCCUUGUACGGCGAUAGUGUAGCUGCAACAUCCGCUGGAGCAUUCUUGGGGUAGUUCGCGCCUUCUUCCACCGUUGAAGAGUUCUGGAGCAACACACUUUAUAUAUAAAUAUAAAGAGCCAGCAAGAUGCUGGGAACAAACAAAAAGAACAAAGCAACAAAAACAAGAACAGGGACAAAGAAAAACAACAUUACAAAAGGUCUACGACAUUAAAUCCCAGCCAAUUCUCACAGCUUAUUUUCAGCAGCUUAGUCCGAUGCGUCAGCCAUAGGAAGACAUCCUAAGUUGUGAUGAAUUUUAUGCGAAGUUGUGAUGAACUUUAAACCGUACAACAUUUUGUAUAGCUUCAUAUUGUACGUCUUUCAUAUAUACGUUAGGCGAUGUAACUAUGCAACAUUGGUGUAAAUAUUUGGGUUUUAUUUAGUGUGACGCAUAUAAAUGGAUCCCGCCGCAUCACGGCGGGUGAUAAAUCCUAGU
RNAcentral lists this long non-coding RNA (621 nucleotides) under Helianthus annuus (common sunflower). RNAcentral's name for it is "hypothetical non coding rna". The record is from RNAcentral. Lineage: Eukaryota; Viridiplantae; Streptophyta; Magnoliopsida; Asterales; Asteraceae.